ACCCAUUUUCUUUUAAGUUGUUCAGUUACAAUUCAUCUUUAUUUUAAUAAUAAAAACAUAGGUGUUAGUAUUAUCAUUAUCUUUUAACUGCAUAUUGGGCAGAUUUGUUUUUGUAUUCAGUUUAUAUACUUUAGUGUGCAUGCUGAGCUACAAGACCUAAUGCAAGCUUUAGUUAGUUUUAAAUAGUUUUAAUAUCCUCCAAGAAAUCAAUAGUUUUAAUAUUUAUUUAUGGCUGCAAAACUAUUAAAAGAUGUUAUAGCAAUAUACAAGUUCUUGAGGAUCCACAUAUUGGUUCAGUUUGGCUGUUUGAUUUAUCAUAAAAAAGUAGAGGUACACACAAAUCUACGAGUACCAUAAAAGUCACUUUUGCCAGUAGUAUGAAAUGAACCCACUACGAAGUGUGCGCUUACUUUACUUACCUUUCUAAAUUUUGUUGGUGAGCAGUUAUGUUAACCAACUUACUGGGAGUGCAUAAUCUGCAGUGGAGAACGUUAUCCGCCGCGCGAUAAAUUAAUUUUAUAAAUAACAUAUGUGAGAGUUAGAGCCUAGAUCACACACUUAGAGACAAGUUAAUUUGCUUUACAUUGCUGGUUGUGGCUUUAUUAGUUUUGAAUAGUUCCAAUAUAAUAUCACUUUUGGGUCUUGAUUUUGAUUUUAAACGGUUCAAAGAUAAUAUCACUUUUGGCGACUUUUUAUCCGUAUGACCAACUUCACCCGUUUAAGUGGAAUAUUUGAAAUCCUUUGCAUAUUUCAGGUCAAACGACAUGUGAUGGCCCGUAUGAGGUUCAACUAACUAUACCAGUGGAGGGUUAUGAGUUGGAUAUACUCAUGUUCUCUUGGUGAUGGUAAACGGGAGUGGAUAGUUUGUUGGCGUUGCUGAAAUGAUGGGCUUGAUUUCUUAUACAGCCAUGUAACACAAGCCACCACCACAAUCUUGCACCUUAAUUCUCAUUAAGGCAUUUCCUAUAAUCGAGAUUCAAGAAACGAAGCAAUGCUCAGCAACAAAAUUGAAAUGGAGCUGCUGAUUUAGUAGAAAUUGAUGUGCAGGCAGAGGCACAUGUAAAUUAUACUUGAUAGUGAAUCUCCGCACAUAAGAAUUGUGUAUGAAUUUAUUCUCUAAAGCUAUCUAUCUACGUGAAUCUGAGGUUGUAUCUCGGUGAUUUGUAUCUACCAAAGCAUGUCGACAUCAAAUUCGGAGGACGGUACAUGUAACCGAAUUCGGAGGACGGUAAAUGCAAAGACUCUCCCUUUAAAUAACUAAACUUGCUCGGACACCGAAACCCUAGGCAUGUGCGAUCCAAAUGGGGAAGGAAGGAUCAACGAUUGUCGGUGAGUUCUAAUCAUUCGUAAACUUCCGUUAUUGUUAUCUGAAUCUGUAAUUUGUUGCUUUUCGAUCUGAUUAUACUGUUUAUUUGUGUUGUUUGAAGUUUUAGGGUUUUGAAUUUGUUCAUGUUUGUUAGGUUAGUGAACUCUAGGGUUAUUACAUUUGUUAGAUUGUUCAGAAUAUUUUGCUGUGCAGUAAUGCGGUUAAAGAUCGGAUACCGGUCAAGGACCGAUAUUUGAGGUAUACGUUAUCGUGGUGGGAUAUUGGUACUUUUAGUAUCAUACAGAAUUUAUAUAUAUACUUGAAACGCCGUCUCAAGGUCUUGACGCAUUUUUCUGAGCACCUUGCGUGUCUUUUUAAAACCGAAGAGGGUUCAUUUGGAACAAUUUGAGGGUGCCUUUUUGUUGUUAUCUGUGUUUUUUUGGCAAUCAGAGGUUUGUGGUAUAGUAAAGAUCUACACUUGGAUCAACAUUUUAAAGAGCAAACAGAACAAAUUCCCUAUUAUGAUUUAAUAACAUAGCAUUUCCAUUUGCAUGGGUUGAAUAUUUUAAUUACCUUUGGCAUGAUUGUGCAGACUUGCAUAUGAAUAAUUGUUAUAAACUGUUGUGUGUUUUUCAUCUGCUAAUGAUGUUUAGCUUGAGAAAAUUAAUUCAAUAUAGUUCCAAGGAGCUUUAGAUUACUAGAAGAGCUUGAAAGAGGAGAAAAAGGAAUCGGUGAUGGAACCGUAAGCUACGGGAUGGACGAUGCUGAUGACGUGUACAUGCAAUCAUGGACCGGGACU
Long non-coding RNA from Helianthus annuus (common sunflower), 2105 nucleotides. RefSeq lists it as uncharacterized. Lineage: Eukaryota; Viridiplantae; Streptophyta; Magnoliopsida; Asterales; Asteraceae. The record is from RefSeq and is a predicted model, not a curated record. The transcript has 4 exons.